UGAGCUCUGUGUCCUGCCACUGAAGGCUGAGCACCUUGGAGGACAAAGAAUAGGGCAGAACGGGAGGAGCUGGGCUGGGUAGAGGUGGCCCCAAGGGGAGGACAGCUGGCCAGAGCCUUGGACCCUGCAGCACUGUCCAGGAGGGUCACAGGGGAGGCUCACAGGCUCUUGUGGGGCUGGCUGCAGCAGGAUGGGCUUCCUCCCUCUUUGGCUCAUUAUGCACCAGCUUGAGUCCAGGGAUACUCCUGGUCCAUGUUCCCCACAGGUGGGGAACCCCUGGUCCACCUCUGGCCAUCAGGGGAUCCGUCAGUCCUGGGGUCCACCAGGCAGGAGCUAUGUAACUUCGUCAGUGAAUGCUGCGGAGAAGGUGGGCUCCGGGGGCUGGAAGCCAGAAUCCAGGUGUGGGCAGGACUGGUUCCUCCUGAGACCUCUCCUUGGCUUGGGGCCACCUUCUGACUGUGUCCCUGUGGAGUCUCUGGGUCCUGAUCUCCUCUCAGCCCCCCUGAUGACCUCACUGCGAUCUGAUUAUCCCAUGUCAGGGGACACCGUGAGGUUUGGAGUUCCGACCUCACCUAACUCUGAGGGACCUAGGCUGUCCCAGGGCAGAGGCCCAUCUGCCGCAGCGGGCCCCCGCCUGCUCCUGGCCAUAUCGCUGACCCUAGAUUUGCAGGCCUAGGUGAGGUGACCGCACAGGAAACAGUGUCCCACGUGAUCCCCGCCCCACCAGCCAGCGUUGUCCCCUGGCCCCGGGCAGCCUGUGCUCUGUGUGGGAGGCUUCAGGGUGCACGGCCCACGCCGAGGAGCAGGCCCACUGCUGGCACCGGGCGUGACCUGUGGGGGAGGCUCAGGGCAGGGCUCUGGUGGCCACCAGUCACGGUGUCUCACAUUUGGACAGUGGCUCCCAGCUUGUCGAGCGCAGGACACAUGCCUCUGAGAGUGAUCUGGCGCAUCUGGCGGGCGUCUUCAACUCUCAGGGCCUGUACCGCUGGCCUGGGCCUCUGGUGCUGCUGAUGUGAGGAUUUGUUUGGCCCUUCCACGUGUGGGUCAC
This 1048-nucleotide long non-coding RNA is filed under the name Marmota monax (woodchuck). The record is from RNAcentral. Lineage: Eukaryota; Metazoa; Chordata; Mammalia; Rodentia; Sciuridae.